This 253-nucleotide ribosomal RNA is filed under the name uncultured bacterium. RNAcentral describes it as "partial 16S ribosomal RNA". It matches the Rfam family "Bacterial small subunit ribosomal RNA", at positions 524 to 776 of the family's 1533-position model. The record is from RNAcentral.
GACAGAGGGGGCAAGCGUUGUCCGGGGUUACUGGGCGUAAAGGGCGCGGAGGCGGUCUGCGGCGUCGGCGCUGAAAGCGCCCCGCUUAACGGGGCGAGGCGUGCCGAUACGCGCAGACUUGAGGCGAGCAGAGGGUGGUGGAAUUCCGGGUGGAGCGGUGAAAUGCGUAGAGAUCCGGAGGAACGCCAGUGGGGAAGCCGGCCACCUGGGCUCGUCCUGACGCUGCGGCGCGACCGCCUGGGGAGCAAACCGG